Molecule: long non-coding RNA, 5323 nt
Filed under: Canis lupus familiaris (dog)
Lineage: Eukaryota; Metazoa; Chordata; Mammalia; Carnivora; Canidae
Description: lncRNA (ENSCAFG00030014854.1)
Source: RNAcentral
AUGGGGAUCCAGACACACCCCCGCGGAGGGGACAGGAAAGGGCAGGAAGGAGACAGAAGGGCCAGGCUGAGGCAGGCUGUCUUAGAGGAGGUGGAAGUGGAGCUGGCCUUUAGGGGGGAGGGACUCAAAGGGCAGAGAGAGGUCCUGGGGGGCUACUGGAGCUCCCCGCCGCCGCAGCCCCUCCUCCCACUACCUGUCCCCUCAGUAUCCACUGAACCCAGGUUUGUUCUAGGUGUCUGUCCUCCUUCUGGACUCAGGGUUAGUACUGUGGCAGCAGUAAUGCAACUAUCCCCCUUGCUUGGGAUAGAGUUGGGCAUGGGAUGGGGCUCAAGUCUGGCCAACGAGCAGUGAGGAAGAGUCUCUUAGGAGCUUCAAGGAAAAAAUUUCCCUGGUCUUAACCGGGGACAUAGGAUGAAGUAUUUCCUGUUUGUUGUUGUUGUUGUUGUUGUUUUGUUUUGCUGUUAUGGCCAUUAUUGUGUGACAAUGUGAUGUCUGGCGUAGCAGCAGCCAUCUUGUGACCAUGAGGAAAGCUAGCCAAGGACAAGGCAAUAUGCUGAGAAUGGCAGAGGGGAAGGAAAAGAGGAAAUAGCCUGAGUCCUUGAUGCUGAUAUUGAGUUACAGGAUUAACCUCUGCUGAAGCUACCCUUCCUCUGGACUUUUUGUUCUGUGAGAUAAUAUACUUUCCUUAUUGUCUAAGCCAACGGAAUAGAAAUUCUCUGUUUCUGACCACUAAAGACAUCUUUACUGGCACAUGAACCAUGGGAUCAAAAGAAUAAACACCUGACAUAAUAAUCUGAUAUGCUAAUAGCUGAUGGCAGGGACAACAGCCAUUGGUUAAAUGAGGAAAAUCUGAUUCCUUGACCAUGGCAGGCCCUAGGAAUUUCUUGCCCUGUUGGCUCAGAGGCCCCGUGCUCUGCAUUGUGUCCAGGCGUGUGGGAGGGCUUCUAUCAGAGGAGAGGUCCACUCCUGGCCAGCUGAACUUCUGACUCCCAUUUCCUGUAGGGUCAGCAGAGGAAAGCGGCUUUAUUUACUGAAUCAGAAUGGAAAACAGAUGUACAGGCACCCCACUGGGCCGUGGACAGAGGCUGGGCCUGUUCUCAGUCCUGACCCACACACCAAUUCCCUGUUCCCCAUAUCGAGUCCAGAUGUGGCUUCUUCCAAGCUCUAAUAAUAAUUUUGAUUUGUUGCGGUUAAGUAACCUUUGCCCCCAGCUCAACUCUAAACUCUCCAAGGAGAAAAAUAGGAGUUAUAUUAUGAAACGUUUGCAAGGAAGCCUGGGUGGGACGCGGAAGAAUGUGGACUUGAGAAGCAGACCAGUGUGGGUUCAACCACAGUCUGGUCUCACACUAACCGUGUGAUCUCCACCAUGGUAUCAGUCAACAGCCGCUGGGUAACAAGCCCCCACAAAACUCAGUGGCUCAAAUCAGUAAAUGUUUAUUUACUCAUAGUUCCAAAAUGUGGGCGGGGCUCGGUGGGACAGCUGGUUUGUUCUCCACAAAGUGUUGUGUUUUGGAAGUGAAGUCAGAUGGGACAAUGGAGCAUGUGCAUGAGCAGAGGGGACCUGUACAGUUAGCAUGGUCCACCCUGUUCUUUGCUUCCUUGUCCCUACAUAGAUCCUUUCUUCUCUUAAAAUGGUUUGCUACUCGCUUGAUCCAGAAAACCCCACGAAAUCAUGUAAAUUGAGAGUGUCAAAUCUUUAUGUUUCCUUUAAGAACACCCUGGGAAACUGCCCAGGCCAUCCUGGAUAUGCAUAUGUGAAAAGCCCUCAAGUAUAUGAAACAUGGGGAUCCCUGGGUGGCACAGCGGUUUGGUGCCUGCCUUUGGCCCAGGGCGCGAUCCUGGAGACCCGGGAUCGAAUCCCGAAUCGGGCUGCCGGUGCAUGGAGCCUGCUUCUCCCUCUGCCUGUUUCUCUGCCUCUCUCUCUCUCUCUCUGUGACUAUCAUAAAUAAAUAAAAAUUAAAAAAAAAAGUAUAUGAAACAUGUCACGGAAGCAGUGUGCGCUGUUCUGUAAACAAAUGGUGGAGCAGGAGGUUUGCUCACGCCAAGCCUUGAAGGGAGUAUUUGAUACAGAGAUGAGAGGGAUUGUUGGUGGCCAUUCUUGAGGGCAAAAUUCAACAACCAUUGGUCAAAACCUUUCUCCUCUUCAGGCUUCUCAUCUGUAGUACAAGAAGAAUUCUAUUUAUUUCCCAGGGUCAUUUGAGAAUAAAGGGGUAUUGUGGUUGCACAUCUCCUGAACAUGGCCCAUAGAGCAUUCAAGAUUGGCUGCUCCCCUUUGAUCUGGCUUUAUAAAUGCUGACCUAUUUACUAUCUCAUCCCAUCCAUCCAUUCAUUCGUUUAGUAUCUCCUGAGGCCUGUGACCCAGGUACUACCCUAGAUGUAGAGGAUACAACAGACAAAAGUCCCUGUGUCCAUGGAGUUUACAUUUGGAUAGAGAUAAAAGUUAUCAAAUAAGUGGUGUUUUGGAUGGUGAGAGAUGCUAAGAGUGGCUAGGGAGUGCUGAGGAGGGGCUGUAGUGUGUGGCCGGGUUCCUCUGAGUCCAUCCUGAAGGCAGAGCCAUGAGGAUAUUCCAGGCCGAGGGAAGGGCCAGCGCAGAGACUCUGAGAGGAGAUGGCCGGGGUGUUUGUGGAACAGAUAGGGCCCAGGGUGGCUGGAGAUGAGAACCACAGGAGAGGGCCUUUGGGAGGAUUUUUGCCUCUUACUGUGCAGGAGAUAAAAACACAGGGGCAGGUUUGGAGGAGGGCUCAGUGGGUUGCAGUGGGGAGUCAGGGAGGGGGAGGGGGGCCGGUGGUCUGGCCAGGGUGGUCAAGGGAGAGGUGGGAAAAGUGCCUGGAUUCUGAAUGGUUUCUUGGAGGUCAGCAGAUGGGAUUUACCUAUCAACUCUCAGUAAAUCAACCUAGCAUGGAAAGCAGGUUUUUGUUUUUUUGUUUUUUUGUUUUUUAAGAUUUAUUUAUUUAUUUAUUCAGAGAGAGAGCAGAGACACAGGCAGAGGGGGGAGAAGCAGGCUUCAUGCUGGAAGCCUGAUGCGGGACUCGAUCCCGGGUCCCCAGGAUCACACCCAGGGCUGCAGGCAGCGCUGCGCCACCGGGGCUGCCCGGAAAGCAGGUAUUAUCAAACUUUCAUUUUAUGGAAGAGAAAAUCUUUUGAGUGACUUGUGCAAAGUGCUAAGCUGCUAAGUGGUUCCUGGGCAGGUGGGAAGGCUGUGGGAUCUGUCUGAGGCUGACUCGUAAUGGGAUGUGUGUGGUCUGUGUAUGGGUGUGUCUAUGACGUGCCUUCUCUGGGUCUUUUUUUUUUUUUUACAUUAAAAAAAAUUAAAUUCAAUUUGCCAACAUAUAGUAUAACAACACCCAGGGCUCAUCCCAUCAAGUGCCCUCCUCAGCGCCCUUUUAUUUUCUUUUAGAGAGAGAGAGAAAGAGAGAGAGAGAGAGCAUGCUUAGGUGGGGGAGAGGGAAGAGGCAGAAAGAAGGGGAGGGGCAGAGAGAGAGAGAGAGACUCUUAAGCAAGGUCUGUGCCCAGCGCAGAGCCUGGCUGCAGGGCUCCAUCUCACGACCCCGAGAUCAUGACCUGAGCCGAAAUCCAGAGUCAGUCUCUUAGCCAACGGAGUCACCCAGGUGCCCCUCUCUGGGUCUUCUUACUUGGCCUCUCAUCUCCAUCUGGGACCCACUGCCACAUUCCAUCCUCUGUUGUCCUUAAGUCUUGUAGACAUACCCCAUGCAUUUCUGGUGCCCAGGGGAACCAAUCUAUGUCUAUGAGUGUGUAAGUAGGUGUGUGACUCUUGUCAUGUGCACAUGCCUUAUGUGAAUGUGCAUGACUCCCGGGUCUGAGUGUUACAUUGGCCGUGUCAGGGUGCACGUGGGAGUCCCUGUGAGAACCUACACGUGUGAGGGCUUAAGGGCCUGAACAUGCAUGAGCACAUGAAGGGUGUGUGUGUGUGUGUGUGUGUGUGUGUCUGCAAACGUGUGAGUGCGUGGAGGUGUUCUCUCUCCCCUCUACCCAUUCAAAUGUGCUGCCAUCCUAAAAAACCCAGGCCAAGCCCACCUCUUCCCUUCUCUGAUUCCUGACCUCCAUGCCCCAUCUGUCAGAGCCACACACGGGCUGGCCUCCCGUCCUUUGCUGGUGGUCUGGCUGCUUUAGAGGGGAAUCCAUUUCCUAGCCUGCAGGGCAGGGUGGGCCUGUGCAGGGGGUUGCCGUGGGGCACACCCCACCCUGGGUCAACUUUCAGCCACAUCUCCUGAGGUCAAUGGGCCCCACCCUCUGCCUCCCCUACAGGUUUCUUUACUGGAGGGAGAGAAGGCCACUGACCUCAGAAGGGUCUGGCAGGCAGUUCUGGUGGCCUCCAGCAGGCUGAGGCAGGUGGGGCAGAGAGUGGUUGCACCCUCAGGCUUCCUUCCUCCCCAAGGGUGGUCAGCUGAGCCUCCUGGCAGGAGAAUAGAAGUCCACACUGCAUUCUCUCUGUGAGCUCCCAGGUCCCCAUGUUGGGAUGGGGGCCUGGGGACCCCAGAGACUUGUCCCCACUUAGGCAGGCCCGUGGGCCCUAGUGCAGCUUGGCCCCACUCUUGGCCUCCUACCCCCACUCUCUCUUUAGGAGCCACCAGACCUCAGGCCUCCUCCUGAGUACUAAUAGGCUCCUUCCAGUCUCAACCUUUUCCCUUCUCCUCCCUUUCUCCAGACACUGGUUCCUCCAAGAGAGCCCUUAGGCCUCCCCUACAGGUACCAGAGGAUCCCUUUUCUUUAACUCCCUGGAAAUUAGACCUUUGCUUGGAGCAAGGUGAGGAGGUGCCUGGAGGCAUGGGGUCACUUCGGUCUAUCCUCCUGGUUGGCCUGCCCUUCCCUCUAGCCUGGCCAGGCACACUCCAGCUUUGGAGCCUUUGUUCGAGUCCUAUCCUCUGUCUGCAGUGUUCUUCCUCAGACCCUUCUCGGCUCCUUCCUCUCCGAGCACUUGUCAACCUAUCAUCUUCCCAAUGGGGCCGACCUGGUCCACCCAAUUUAACACUACUGCUCGUGGGCACCUGGGUGGCUCAGUGGUUGAGCGUCUGCCUUUGGCUCAGGUUGUGAUCCCAGGGUCUUGGGAUCGAGUCCACAUCCAGCUCCCCUGCAGUGAACCUGCUUCUCCCUCUGCCUGUGUCUCUGCCUUUCUCUGUGUCUCUCAUGAAUAAAUAAAUAACAUCUUUAAAAAAUUUUUUAGAAAACUCCUGUGACCGGUGUGCAUGCACACAGCCCCAUGCACCCCCUCGCCCACUCGGCCGUGCCCUCUCCUGACCCAGCUCUGCCUCCCUCACGUCUCAUCAGGCCCCUCGCCUCCUCCCACACACCAGUCCAUUCUGUC